AUACGUAGGGAGCGAGCGUUAUCCGGAUUUAUUGGGUGUAAAGGGUGCGUAGACGGGAAAACAAGUUAGUUGUGAAAUCCCUCGGCUUAACUGAGGAACUGCAACUAAAACUGUUUUUCUUGAGUACUGGAGAGGAAAGUGGAAUUCCUAGUGUAGCGGUGAAAUGCGUAGAUAUUAGGAGGAACACCAGUGGCGAAGGCGACUUUCUGGACAGAAACUGACGUUGAGGCACGAAAGUGUGGGGAGC
Molecule: ribosomal RNA, 247 nt
Filed under: uncultured bacterium
Lineage: Bacteria
Description: partial 16S ribosomal RNA
Rfam family: Bacterial small subunit ribosomal RNA
Source: RNAcentral